GUCAUUUUCCCUGAUUGAUUAGUGUCCUAUUUACGUUGCCUGUUUUUCGUCCUUAGUUGUUGUACCGUUAAUACAACUUAAGUCACAUUUGUGGUUGGUUCUGUUAUGACUGUUAUUGCCUUUUGUUUAUGCACUGUGGCUUGAUUUUUAUUUUUUUUAGAGUGCUUUUUCUUGAGGUUUAUUUUUUAACUUUACUAAGUUCCUGAUAGUCCUGGUACCCAUGUGUUUUUACCUGUUCCCCGAGCCUGUUCCUGUAUCUGUCUGCAAAGAAGCCAAGAAGAAAUAAAUGCUUCUGUGCUCCGCUGGGGAUGUCGCUCCCUAACCCUCACCCUAACCCUAACCGUCUUCCUGCAUAGGAGCUGUAUAAAGUCCAUCUUCAAAUGCAAAUUAGAAAAAGUGACAUGGAGAUGGACCUUCUACAACUUCAAAUGGAGGGAAAAAAGGUGAACAUAUGAAAGGCCAGGUUUGAAACUGAACUACUGAAGCACUGGUUAAAGAUGGACAAAAUAUUUGCCUCGUGAUUAUUCUGUCAUUUAAUGCUGAAUGAUAAAGUAAUCUAUUCAAAUUUCUUUUUCAAUUACAGGAGAUAAAUAAACAAUGAACCACACUUGACUGUUCACUUUGUGCAUUAGUCUUUUAAUUAUAAGUGAUUUUGGCAGAUCACAUCAACACCCUGCAAUCUCUCUAGUCCACUGUGUUCACUUGGGGAUUGUCUUGAUCAUGUUCAUAAAGAGGGCCUUGAAAUAUGCUGGUGUUGUGUAGGUGAUCACUGGUGUGUGUGUGUGUGUGUGUGUGAUCACUGGUGUGUGUGUGUGUGUGUGUGUGUGUAGGUGAUCACUGGUGUGUUUAGGUGAUCACUGGUGUGUGUGUGUGUGUGUGUGUCUAGGUGAUCACUGGUGUGUAGGUGAUCAGUGGUGUGUGUGUAGGUGAUCACUGGUGUGUGUGAGUCUAGAUGAUCACUGGUGUGUGUGUGUAGG
Molecule: long non-coding RNA, 977 nt
Organism: Ictalurus punctatus (channel catfish)
Lineage: Eukaryota; Metazoa; Chordata; Actinopteri; Siluriformes; Ictaluridae
Source: Ensembl